RNAcentral lists this ribosomal RNA (367 nucleotides) under uncultured eukaryote. Its description in RNAcentral is "partial 18S ribosomal RNA". It matches the Rfam family "Eukaryotic small subunit ribosomal RNA", at positions 592 to 975 of the family's 1831-position model. The record is from RNAcentral.
CAGUGGCGUAUAUUAAAGUUGUUGCAGUUAAAAUGCUCGUAGUUGAAGUUCGGAUGCAGCAGAGCUUGGAAACGCUGUUAUGGUGCUUCCGUUGCUUUUGCUUGUCCACAGUGCGUUGCAAGUACGUAUGUGCUUGUGCGUGCAUUUUACUUUGAGAAACAUAGGGUGUUCCACGCAUGUUACGGCAUGAAUAUUCCAGCAUGGGAUAAUCUGGUACGACUUCCAAUCUGCCAUUUUGGUUCGUAGGUUGGAAGUAAUGAUUAAUAGGGACUGUCGGGGGCAUUGGUAUUUGACUGUCAGAGGUGAAAUUCUUAGAUUCGUUGAGGACCAACCACUGCGAAAGCAUUUGUCAAGGAUGUCUCCAUUA